ACUCAAAGGAAUUGACGGGGGCCCGCACAAGCAGUGGAGCAUGUGGUUUAAUUCGAUGCAACGCGAAGAACCUUACCUGGGCUCGAAAUGUAGAGGACAGUAUCAGAGAUGAUACUUCCCGAAAGGGUCUCUAUAUAGGUGCUGCAUGGCUGUCGUCAGCUCGUGCCGUGAGGUGUUUGGUUAAGUCCAGCAACGAGCGCAACCCUUAUCGUUAGUUGCCAGCGCGUAAAGGCGGGAACUCUAACGAGACUGCCUGGGUUAACCAGGAGGAAGGUGAGGAUGACGUCAAGUCCGCAUGGCCUUUAUGUCCAGGGCUACACACGUGCUACAAUGGUCGGUACAGAAGGCAGCAAGACCGCAAGGUGGAGCAAAUCCUAAAAACCGAUCUCAGUUCAGAUUGUAGACUGCAACUCGUCUACAUGAAGUUGGAAUUGCUAGUAAUGGCGUGUCAGCAACAACGCCGUGAAUACGUUCCCGGGCCUUGUACACACCGCCCGU
Molecule: ribosomal RNA, 498 nt
Filed under: uncultured bacterium
Lineage: Bacteria
Description: partial 16S ribosomal RNA
Rfam family: Bacterial small subunit ribosomal RNA
Source: RNAcentral